Molecule: ribosomal RNA, 1165 nt
Filed under: uncultured eukaryote
Lineage: Eukaryota
Description: bacterial SSU rRNA
Rfam family: Eukaryotic small subunit ribosomal RNA
Source: RNAcentral
CGGUAAUUCCAGCUCCUAUAGUGUAUGUUAACGUUGCUGCGCUUAAAAAGUCCGUAGCUGGAUUUCUUGUGCCGGAGCCUCUGCCGCAGAGUGGUUGAAUUACUGCUCAGAUUGGCUUGAUCCGUCACAAUCUUGUGCGAUCCGUUGCACUGAUUACCGUGAAGAAAUCGUAGUGCUCAAAGCAGGCGUUUGCAGCUGUACGUUCAAGCAUGGAAUAAUAAAAUAUGACUCGUAUCGUAUUUUGUUGGUUCAACGGAAUGAGUAAUGAUUAAUAGGGGCAGUUGGGGACAUCUCUACUACUGCGGGACCGGUAAAAUGGGUUGAUCGCAGUAAGAGAAACUGAAGCGAAAGCGUUUGUCAAGGAUGCUUUCAUUAGUCAAGGACGAAAGCUAGAGGAUGGAAGGCGAUCAGACACCGCUGUACUUCUAGCCAUAAACUAUACCGCCUAGGGAUUGGAGGCUGGUAUUACACUCCUUCAGCACCUUUUGAGAAAUCAAAGGCUUCGGGUUGCGGGGGGAGUAUGGUCGCAAGGCUGAAACUUAAAGGAAUUGACGGAAGGGCACCACCAUUAGUGGAACCUGCGAUUCAAUUUGACUCAACACGUAAACCUUACCAGGGCCAGACACUGUUAGGAUUGACAAGCUGAAAGACUUUUCUUGAUUCGGUGGAUGGUGGUGCAUGGCCGUAUUUAGUUCGUGGAGUGAUUUGUCUGGUUGAUUCCGAUAACGAACGAGACCCCCGCCUGCUAACUAGAUGAUUUCAUCUUUGGAUGAGUCGUCUUCUUAGAGGGACAACUGGUGCAAGCCAGGGGAAGUGGGGGGCAACUACAGGUCAGUGAUGCCCUUAGAUGUCCUGGGCCACACGCGUGUUAUAAUGGCAUGGUCAUCAAGCAUAUGCUAGUCCGAUAGGACAGGCUAAUCUUGUGAAACCAUGUCGCAGUGGGGAUUGGGGCUUGCAAUUGUUCCCCAUGAACGAAGAAUUAAUAGUAGGCGCGAGGUAUCAACUUGCACCGACUACGUCCCUGCCCUUUGUACACACCGCCCGUCGCUCCUACCGAUUGGAUGUUCCGGCGAGUUGUUUGGAGUGAGAGCUACCUUCGGGUCGCUCUCGCGAAGAUCCGCGAGCCACAGCAUCUAGAGGAAGGAGAAGUCGUAACAAGGUAACC